RNAcentral lists this long non-coding RNA (407 nucleotides) under Androctonus crassicauda. Lineage: Eukaryota; Metazoa; Arthropoda; Arachnida; Scorpiones; Buthidae. The record is from RNAcentral.
UCUCAAGUGUUCUUUAAAUUUUGGGAACAGAUGAAAAUCUGAUGGAGCAAUGUCAAACAUCUUUCAUACAGUUUUCAGAAUCCAGUUUUUUGAAUAUUGCCUGCACUUGCUUCCAUGAUAUGCCACUUGACAGAUAGCUGUUUUUGUAUUAUGUGACACUUCCCUCUAAUGAGUUCAACAGCAGAUUCUGAUGAGCUUCAUCAGUUGUAGUUUGUGGCCUUCCACUCCAUUCAUUAUUAUACAAGUUGAGAAUCACACCACUGUUUUUUUUUUCAUUACAAGCAUGAACAUUGACAGGCAAACAUCACACAGCAGUGAUAUGUACACAUUUAUCUCCAUAAAUAGCCUUUAUUCUCCAAUGAAUGUCAGUUGGGAGUCGUAUUUUCUGCAGUUAGAAACUCUAUCAC